GGAAGGUUACUCAAGUGGUUGAAGAGGAACGCUUGGAAAGCGUUUAGCACUGUAACAGGUGGCAUGGGUUCGAAUCCCAUACCUUCCG
This 88-nucleotide transfer RNA is filed under the name Porphyromonas sp. RNAcentral describes it as "tRNA-Ser". It matches the Rfam family "tRNA". Rfam says of the family: Transfer RNA (tRNA) molecules are approximately 80 nucleotides in length. Their secondary structure includes four short double-helical elements and three loops (D, anti-codon, and T loops). Lineage: Bacteria; Pseudomonadati; Bacteroidota; Bacteroidia; Bacteroidales; Porphyromonadaceae. The record is from RNAcentral. RNAcentral also lists the same sequence under 1 other name.